Molecule: non-coding RNA, 27 nt
Filed under: Homo sapiens (human)
Lineage: Eukaryota; Metazoa; Chordata; Mammalia; Primates; Hominidae
Source: RNAcentral
UAGUCAAACUCAUGGUGCUUUGAAAGU